This 431-nucleotide long non-coding RNA is filed under the name Cyanistes caeruleus (blue tit). RNAcentral's name for it is "lncRNA (ENSCCEG00000022621.1)". Lineage: Eukaryota; Metazoa; Chordata; Aves; Passeriformes; Paridae. The record is from RNAcentral.
GGCAAAAUUAAUCACCACUCAUUUACUUUGUGUUGAUACUGGUGCCUGACACUGCACUGCCUUGUGCUUUGGUGUCAGUAACUUUGAAAUUGUUUACGGAAAAGCUCGUGGCUCCCACUGAUUUCAUCUGCUCUUGCAAUUUCGCUAUGAGUCAUCCAAUAUGUUGUAAACAAGAAAGGCUCGCCAAUUUUCCACUCAAUGGAAAAGUCCUGUAUGCUUUGAUAGCAAUACACCAGAGACAGCAUAUAAUGGAAAUGUCGUGGAGCACCAGCUCAAAAGCAGAGGAAAAUGGCUGAAGAAUUAACUCUCAAAAGAUAUUUUUCUUUCCUCCUUUUCCUAUUUUCCUUUUUUCUUUUUAAUGUAUUCUUUCUCUCUUUUUCUUUCCCUUUAAUAAUAUGCAUAUAAAAAAAGGCUUUCAAUCUCAAAUAGGC